This 240-nucleotide unclassified non-coding RNA is filed under the name soil metagenome. RNAcentral's name for it is "partial contains 5.8S ribosomal RNA, internal transcribed spacer 2, and large subunit ribosomal RNA". The record is from RNAcentral.
AACCUAGCACACCUGCGGUGUGUACCUGCGGAAGGAUCAUUACCGAGUUUACAACUCCCAAACCCCUGUGAACAUACCUAUAAUUUGCCUCGGCGGACUCAACGACGGUGCUCCGAGAAAUCGGGCGCCGCUCGCUGCCAGAGGAACCCCAAACUCUAUGUAUUCUUGUGGAUCUUCUGAGUAAAACAAAACAAAUAAAUCAAAACUUUCAACAAUGGAUCUCAGAUCGGAAGAGCACAC